UCUGGGAUGAGACAUUGUUAUAG
This 23-nucleotide microRNA is filed under the name Panagrellus redivivus. Its description in RNAcentral is "prd-miR-7866-5p". Lineage: Eukaryota; Metazoa; Nematoda; Chromadorea; Rhabditida; Panagrolaimidae. The record is from miRBase by way of RNAcentral.